CUUUCUUUGCUGGCGACCGGCGCACGGGUGAGUAACACGUAUCCAACCUGCCCUUUACUCGGGGAUAGCCUUUCGAAAGAAAGAUUAGUACCCGAUAGUAUAAUGAUUCCGCAUGGUUUCAUUAUUAAAGGAUUCCGGUAAAGGAUGGGGAUGCGUUCCAUUAGGUUGUUGGUGAGGUAACGGCUCACCAAGCCUUCGAUGGAUAGGGGUUCUGAGAGGAAGGUCCCCCACAUUGGAACUGAGACACGGUCCAA
This 254-nucleotide ribosomal RNA is filed under the name uncultured bacterium. RNAcentral's name for it is "partial 16S ribosomal RNA". It matches the Rfam family "Bacterial small subunit ribosomal RNA", at positions 79 to 334 of the family's 1533-position model. The record is from RNAcentral.